AAACAAAAAAAAGUCAUAGUAUAGUAUGGCGUCAAAAAACAUGAAAAAAAGUCAUAGUAUAGUAUGGCAUCAAAAAACAUGAAAAAAUAUCAUAGUAUAGUAUGGCGUCAAAAAUGGUCAAAAAAAAUCAUAGUAUAGUAUGGCGUCAAAAAACAUGAAAAAAAGUCAUAGUAUAGUAUGGCGUCAAAAAUGGUCAAAAAAAAUCAUAGUAUAGUAUGGCGUCAAAAAUGGUCAAAAAAAGUCAUAGUAUAGUAUGGCGUCAAAAAUGGUCAAAAAAAGUCAUAUUAUAGUAUGGCGUCAAAAAACAUGAAAAAAAGUCAUAGUAUC
This is a long non-coding RNA of Lates calcarifer (barramundi perch), 327 nucleotides long. RefSeq lists it as uncharacterized. NCBI's taxonomy places the organism in Eukaryota, Metazoa, Chordata, Actinopteri, Centropomidae. The record is from RefSeq and is a predicted model, not a curated record. The transcript is spliced from 5 exons.